This 325-nucleotide ribosomal RNA is filed under the name uncultured eukaryote. RNAcentral's name for it is "partial 18S ribosomal RNA". It matches the Rfam family "Eukaryotic small subunit ribosomal RNA", at positions 1470 to 1796 of the family's 1831-position model. The record is from RNAcentral.
CCCUUAGAUGUUCUGGGCCGCACGCGCGCUACACUGAUGCAUUCAACGAGCCUAUCCUUGACCGACAGGUCCGGGUAAUCUUUGAAUCUGCAUCGUGACGGGGAUAGAUUAUUGCAAUUAUUAAUCUUCAACGAGGAAUGCCUAGUAGGCGCAAGUCAUCAGCUUGCGUCGAUUACGUCCCUGCCCUUUGUACACACCGCCCGUCGCUCCUACCGAUUGGGUGUGCUGGUGAAAUGUUCGGAUCGGCCGUUUGUCGCGGUUUCCGCGUCAUGUGGCUGAGAAGUUCAUUACACCCUCCCACCUAGAGGAAGGAGAAGUCGUAACA